This is a small nucleolar RNA of Homo sapiens (human), 64 nucleotides long. The record is from RefSeq and is marked provisional. Lineage: Eukaryota; Metazoa; Chordata; Mammalia; Primates; Hominidae.
GGCUCAUACAGUGAUGGACACCAAGCUCCCAGAUUUCCCAAGGGAGGUGACUGAGUAUAGAGCC